This 158-nucleotide ribosomal RNA is filed under the name Clitopilus hirneolus. Its description in RNAcentral is "5.8S ribosomal RNA". It matches the Rfam family "5.8S ribosomal RNA". Rfam says of the family: 5.8S ribosomal RNA (5.8S rRNA) is a component of the large subunit of the eukaryotic ribosome. It is transcribed by RNA polymerase I as part of the 45S precursor that also contains 18S and 28S rRNA. Functionally, it is thought that 5.8S rRNA may be involved in ribosome translocation. Lineage: Eukaryota; Fungi; Basidiomycota; Agaricomycetes; Agaricales; Entolomataceae. The record is from RNAcentral.
CAACUUUCAACAACGGAUCUCUUGGCUCUCGCAUCGAUGAAGAACGUAGCGAAAUGCGAUAAGUAAUGUGAAUUGCAGAAUUCAGUGAAUCAUCGAAUCUUUGAACGCACCUUGCGCUCCUUGGUAUUCCGAGGAGCAUGCCUGUUUGAGUGUCAUUA